Molecule: ribosomal RNA, 253 nt
Filed under: uncultured bacterium
Lineage: Bacteria
Description: partial 16S ribosomal RNA
Rfam family: Bacterial small subunit ribosomal RNA
Source: RNAcentral
UACAGAGGGUGCGAGCGUUGUCCGGAUUUAUUGGGCGUAAAGAGCGUGUAGGCGGUUUGGUAGGUCCGUUGUGAAAACUCGAGGCUCAACCUCGAGACGCCGAUGGAAACCAUCAGACUAGAGUCCGGAAGAGGAGAGUGGAAUUCCUGGUGUAGCGGUGAAAUGCGCAGAUAUCAGGAAGAACACCCGUGGCUAAGGCGGCUCUCUAGUACGGUACUGACGCUGAGACGCGAAAGCGUGGGGAGCGAACAGG